CGUACACAAAAGCGCAUGUGUUGUGAGCUCGAUGAGUAGGGCGGGACACGUGGUAUCCUGUCUGAAUAUGGGGGGACCAUCCUCCAAGGCUAAAUACUCCUGACUGACCGAUAGUGAACCAGUACCGUGAGGGAAAGGCGAAAAGAACCCCGGCGAGGGGAGUGAAAAAGAACCUGAAACCGUGUACGUACAAGCAGUGGGAGCCCCACCACUAAGCCAGUGGUGAACUCCACAUACGCAUCCUUUGCUGAAGGUGCGGUUAACGGAGCGCAAGCGACGCCCAACACACAAAACAAGCGGUGAGUGCUUUGGGGUGGGGUGACUGCGUACCUUUUGUAUAAUGGGUCAGCGACUUAUAUUCUGUAGCAAGGUUAACCGUAUAGGGGAGCCGGAGGGAAA
RNAcentral lists this ribosomal RNA (399 nucleotides) under Salmonella enterica subsp. enterica serovar Kentucky. RNAcentral describes it as "bacterial LSU rRNA". It matches the Rfam family "Bacterial large subunit ribosomal RNA", at positions 374 to 676 of the family's 2925-position model. Lineage: Bacteria; Pseudomonadati; Pseudomonadota; Gammaproteobacteria; Enterobacterales; Enterobacteriaceae. The record is from RNAcentral.